AACUGUUGUGGUUUACUGCCAAGUUCUGUAACUGCGAGCAAUUCAUGAGUUCUGGAGGAAUGGAGCUGUUGAGCUGAUUAUAACCAAGAUUCAAAGAGGUGAGGUUGGUUAAAUAACCAAUUGUUGGAGGAAUGGGUCCAAUUAGGUUGUUCCUAUCAAGAGACAGAGAAUCAAGAUACUUCAGAUUUCCGACUUCUCGAGGCAGCAGACCACUUAGUUGGUUUGAAGAAAGAUCUAGAGAUGUUAAGUAGGUUAAAUUUCCUAUGGUCGGUGGAAUUGGACCAUCAAGUCUGUUGUGAGACAAGCGCAACUCAUCCAACAAGUUUAAAAAACCAAUGGUCGAAGGAAUAGGUCCAGUGAGAUUGUUCCUAUUUAGAAGCAGAGAAUCAAGAUUCUUCAGAUUUCCAACUUCUUUAGGCAGUGGACCAACAAGAUUGUUGUAAGCCAAGUACAAAGUACUUAACUGAUUUAAAUGAUAAAGCGUUGAAGGAAUAGGCCCAGUUAGAUUGUUAUUAUCCAGAAACAGAGACACAAGAUUCUUCAGAUUUCCAACUUCUUGAGGCAGCCGACCACUAAGUUGGUUUAAAGAAAGGUCCAAAUGUGUCAAGUUAGUUAAAUUACCUAUGCUCGAUGGAAUUAGACCAUCCAGUUUGUUGCCCUGCAACCUCAGGUCAUAAAGAUCCUUCAAAUUCCCAAAUUCUAAUGGGAUAGAACCAUUGAGAAUGUUAUAAGACAGAUUCAGUUCGAGAAGAUCCCUCAAACUCCCGAUCUCUGAAGGGAUAGUACCUAUCAUAUAUAUAUAUAUACAUGCAAAUGAUUAAUUAAUGAUAAAUGAGCAAUAUUAUCCAGUACCGAUAGGAAAUUAUUGUAUAUGCAAUGAAAUUAUAUAUAAUAGUUACCUGUAAGACGGUUAUAGGACAGGUCAAGCACUUUGAGUCUUGAAAGAGCACCAGUUUCUGAUGGUAUCCUUCCGGAGAGAAAACGAGUGCCCCAAAUUCUGAAAGUUACGAGGUUGGGAAAGCAAGUGAAGUUGAGUUGGCUAAGCUCUGCUGCGUUGCCAUUAUUAUCCAUCUCGUCAGAACUUAUCUCAACUAUGCUUCCUGCUGAAUUGCAAGUGAUUCCCAUCCACUUGCAAUGAUCUGAAGUAUAGUUGGCCGUCGCCCGACUGCUAUUCCACCAGCCUGAAUUAAGUAAAGCUUCCCUUUCUAACUGUAAGGCUGACGAUGCAUCAGAUGCUGUUAGAACUGCAUUAUCAGUUAUAACAGGAACAAUAAUACUGCUUAUAAAAGUUAUAAUGACCACCAAUUUUGAAAUGGAGGAAUCCGGUGCCAUUUUUGUAAGUUUUUGGUUGAUUAGAUUCAGCGGGUGCAUGCCUGCUUUUAUAACUAAACAUUAAGUUUGACAGCAACACUCAGGGCCAGUUUGGGAAUGCUGUAACUUUUAAAAUAAUUACUGUUAGCUGUGCUGUAAAAAUAAUCAACUGUGAAGAAAAUCAGUUAAGUGUUUGGUAAAUUUUGUUUCAAGAAGUACUGUGAGUUUUGAAAGCAGUUAUGGACGUUUGGUAAAUUUUACUAUUAAACUGCUGAGAGAAAAUAAAUGACUAAAAUAUCCAUAAUAUAAGAUAAAAUUUACUUAUAUAUAUAAAAACAUGUACAUAUAAUAUUUUUAAUUGUGUAUUAUAAUAAUUUUUACUAAAAAUAAAAUUUAUAAUAUAUUUAUUUUAUUUUUUUAUCUUAAAGCAAUUGAUAAUUAAAUUAAUAAUAUAGUGAAAUAAAUUUAAUAAUAAUUCGACCAAUAAAUUGAUAUUAAUAAAUUUAUAUUUAUGAAUUAUAAUACAAAAUUUUUAUAAAUUAUUUUGUUUCCAAUUUGAAUAAGGAUAAUUUUGGAUUUAAAUAAUAAUUUUAAGGAUAUUUAUGGAAUUGUACUAAAUGAUAAAAUUGAUUUUCAAAAUCAGAAUCUAAAAGCUACUACUUCCCUGCUUUUCAAAAUCAGCUGUAGGAGAAGUUGAUUUUGACAAAAGUGAUUUUGAUUUUUUUUUACCAAACACUAAAACUAAUUUUUAGAUUUUCAAAAUCACUUUUAGGUCUCCUAAAAACAAUCCCAAACGGGACCUCAAUCAUUUUUAGCCCGCGUUGAGCUUUCUGCCUCAUCGUCAAAAUUGGCAUGCGCGUUAUCAAACGCAAGAGUCAGUUGAGUUAAUGUCUUUUUAGGCCACUAAUUCCUAUUUUUAAUUAAUUUCUCAAAGUAAAGGCUACAUGUGAUUCAUAUUCUAGCAACUUUCUAUUUCUUUCUUUACUUUUUAGUCCACUUUCCAUUCUCCCAAUUACUUUUCUAGAAUGGAGGAUUAUAUAUAUUCUAGUAACUUUCUUUUUCUUUCUUUUCCUUUUGGAACAUACUUUAUGCCCGAAUUUAGACCCCGACCGAAUUCCACCAAAAUUUUCGCCUUUAUAUGGGUUCAUUUGGGAUUUAUGUUCGGGGCGUAUAGGCAUAGCAUUGCUCUUUACUUUGUGUCGACUUUCCUUCAUCAUCAAAAUAUUCGAUAAUGUCGGGAAAUAUUAAAAUUUGUUCUUAAUUAACAAAGAAUUAAGCCGACUACCAUAUUUCGCCAAAAGUCAAAGGAAAAUUUUCCAUUCUCCGGUACAACAUAUUCUAUAAUUUAUAGUAAUUGUCUAUUUGGUAAUGCGAACGGUUAUUUACACUAAGCAAUAUUUUGAAUAUUUGGAGACCCAAGUCAUACUCAAUGCUAAAAAUAAAAUAAAUAUUUUUUCUUCGUACAGAAAAAAAUAUAAAUUACCAACAUGUGAUAGGAGUUCAUCGAUACUUAUAUCAUUAUCAUCAUCCAAACCUAUAUUUGCAUCGUCAAUUUGUCGAUCUAGAAAUGAGACUAGUACCUAUGUGCUUAAUAAAAAAAAUUAUUAAAAAAAUAUUACCUUUCAAGUAAUACAUUAUUUUGUUGUGUAUUAUAUACUAAAUCAAUGAUGUAUUCUAAAUAGAUGUUCACCCUCAAGUGGUAUCAGAUAUCUUCAUCUAAAAUGAUGUGUCUUAAAAUUUAAUGAGAAAAAUAUACAUAUAUUCUAAGGUUUGGGGAAAUAACAUGCAUGAACCUUACCAUAUAAUAUAACUUUAUGAUCGCAUUUUGGUGGAUAUUAUGUAAUUCAUUAACUUUGUUGUCUAUUAUAUACUAUAUUAAUGAUGAAUUCUAACUAGAUGAAAUUCACUCCCAAGUAGUGUCUGAUAUGGCCAUAUCCAUGUGUCCUAUAACUUUACUGAAACAAAUUUUGGGGAAUUUAAGAAUCUUUUUCUUUUUAUGUUUAGGAAAUUUAAUAAUUCGAAGUAGCUGCCAUUUUAGUUGUGUUUAAAAUUGAUUGUCUUAAAAAUUUGGAAAAUAUAUGGGAAAAUUUUCAAAAUGAUAAAAGGGAUAAUGUAGACUGACACGUUUAAACAUGUGAACUCAUUAGUCGCCAAUUAUUUGAAACGCACGGCCAGGGGAUGCCGUGUGAUUAAACACGUGAGUAGAAAACUUUUCAGGUGACUGGCUUUUUCUGAGCCGACCACAAAUUAAAGCAAAAUUGGAGUCAAGGUCUUGCAGACAAGGAAAAGAAGACGUGUGUGUACUGCGAGUUCACAUUUGAGGGUUGACUGACAAAUUUGUCCCUUGUCAAGCUCGUCAAAGAAGCACCUAUAAAUUUCACUUGAGAAUAUAUAUAUUUUAUAUUUAUCCAAAGUGAAGGAUUUAAUUAAACAAAAUUCAGUCUCACGAAUGUUAAUAUACCGAAAAAAGUUAUACAAAAACCACUAUCAAAAUUUUGGAUAAUCUUGAGAAAUUUUAAAAUUUGUUCUUAAUUAACAAAGAAUUACGCCCAAUACCAUAUUUCGCCAAAUCUCAAAGGAAAAUUUUCCACUUUUCCGGUACAAUAUUUUCUAUAAUUUACGGUAAUUAUUAAUUGGUAAUGCCAAUGGUUUUUUACACUAAACAAUAUUUUCAGACCCAAGUCAUACACAAUGCUAAAACCAAAGUAAAUAUUUUUUUUUCAUUUGUACAGAAAAAAUAUAAAUUACCAAGUUCAUCAAUACUUAUUUCAUUUAUCAUCAUCCGAAUCUAUAUUUGCAUCAUCAAUUGUCGAUCUACAAAAGAGAAAUCAAAGAUGUUAAAAAUAUUUCUAAUAAUAAGAUAAAAAUUAAAUAUAAAGACUAGUACCUAGGUGUUUGAAUUAAAAAUAAUAAUCAUUAAAAAAUAUUACCUUUCAAGUAGUACAUAAUUUUGUUGUGUAUUAUAUACUACGUUAAUGGUGUAUUCCAAAUAGAUGAAACUCACUCCCAAGUUGUGUCCAAUAUGGUGAUAUCCUUGUGUCUUACAAUUCCCAUAGGAUGCUAGAGCCAUAUGGAAGCAUAUAGAAGAUUGAUUGGUCGUGAUUAUUAACACUUUUGACGGUUUAUUCUAUAUACAUGAUCAGCUGAACUUGUUCUCUUUAAUUUUCAUAAAUGCAUUGACACAGUUUUUACUUUUUGAUCAUUGGAUAUCCCUGACUUUAAGUUCAUCGAAUUCUAAACUAGGGAAUGCUGUUUGACUUACAACCAUAAUAGUUAGGAAGGUUAUAACUAGAUGGUCACAAUGGUUUUCAAUCACCGAUUGCUUUCUUACGGAACAGAAAAGAAAGGAAAGAUCAUAACUUCUCCCCCACCAGCUUGUGUUAAUUGUCACUACUUAUUGUGGUUUAUUUUAUUUUUCAAAUCACAUUUGGUGACGGUUUCCAAUUCCACCAGCCGCCGAAAUCAAGGUGUAAUUCUAUUGUUUACAGAAUUUCAUUUCUGUUUACCAUUCAUCCAAGCAAUGUCAUACUUUUUACUUUUCAUAUUCUCAAAGUUCUUCAAAUCUUUUUAUUUCAAAUUGAAUGAAACAUUAAUUCUCAUUGGAUAAUCAACAUAUACUUGUCUUAGAGUCCUCAGGUGGACAACUUUUGGGGUUUUGGGUCCUCAUUUGUUGUACUGAUUGGUUCUUGAGGUAAAUAAAUCCAGGAUUCCUGAUAUUGAACAUUCAAUUUUCAUGUCUGAAACUUCCAAUAUCCAAAUUCACUCAUGCAAUACAACUACUCUAUUUUAAAUCAAUUAGAUGGUUUCAGAUACAGAUUUUGUAUUUCCAACAUAAAAAAUCAUGCAAGCAUUUGAUACCCAAAAGACCAUGAUUGGAUUUUUUCUUCUCCCCUCCUCUCCCCUGUAUUGUCAAGUCAUCCAUAAAUUUUCUGCAAUGUCAGACUGUGCAAAAGGUAAUUUUAUCAGUGUAAGUGCUUGCAUUGUUCAUUUCUUCAGACAGCCAUUUACUAUGUCCAACAAUUCAUGCUGUGUUCACUAAUUAAAGCAACUGCGAGUCAAGGUCCUUUUAAGUCGGGAAAAUGACUUGGGUGGUGUGAAUUCACACAUGAAACUUAAUUGGCAUAUUUGUCACUCGGCAAGCUCAAUGGACCCCUUUCAAAUUCACUUUAGAAUCUUUAUUUAUUCUUUAACCAAAGAUAAGGAUUUAAAUACAAAAAAUUCAGCCUCACGAAAGUUAUACAAAAAGCUAUUAAUGAAAUACAUUCAAGAUUAACAAUCACAUUGAUCAAUCAAAUACAUGCCUUAUUUCAUAAGUUCUGAUAUGGAAAUUUCUUCAACAACAGGUUUUCCCAAUGGUGAUUUCCCUGUGAGAAAUUCUUGAGAUACGCGUUGCAUGGUAGGUCGAGACUUGGGUUUUGACUGCAAGCAUGCAAAUGCAACUAUUGAAACAAGAAUAAUAUCAUGAACAACCUUUCGAUCAAGUGGAGAUGGCAGACGUUGGUCUAAAAUAUUGAUCAACCUAAUCUUUCGUUCAGAUGAUGACGAAACAGAUGAAAGAAGAUCUCCUGGAUGACUUCCCAUUAAUACUUCUAGUGCCACCAUUCCAAAGCUAUAAACAUCACAUUUCUCUGUCACAGCCAUGGUGUAUGCAAGUUCUACAACAAAAUAGAACCCAUUGUAGAAUUUCUUUGCACAAGUAAAAAACAAAAUAAAUAUAUAUUUGAUUCACUGUUUCUGGAAGCUUCUGCAGCAAGAUAUUUAAGAGAUAUCUAAUUGAUUUUUAAAUACAUUCAAUGUAUAAACAUGAGUAAGAAGCAUGAAAAGAAUAGCUAAAGUUUACCUGGAGCAAUAUAUCCAUAUGUCCCCACCACUAGAGUUCUGUUGGAGGAAUCUGGAUGCAGGAGCCUAGCCAAACCAAAAUCAGCAACAAAUGCCUCUAGGUUUGAGUUAAGUAGAAUGUUAUUGGUGGAUAUGUCGCGGUGAACAAUGGAUGGCUUGCAGUCAUAAUGCAGGUAAGACAAAGCAUGAGCCAUACUCUUUACAAUGUUCACUCUCUUUGUCCAAUCCAACUCAACUGCUUCAACAUCAUUGCGUAACACACAGAACAAGCUUCCCCUCUCCAUGUACUCAUAGAUCAAAAACAUGCACUUGUUGUGCAAACAAAAACCAUUAAGCUUCACUAUAUUACGAUGCCGUAUUUGGGAGAGUAGACGAGCUUCAGUUUGGAAACUUUCCAGGAAAGCUGGCUCCUCUGUCUCCGAACGGUGAAGUUUCUUCAAAGCGACUACUUUUCCACUGGACAAUUGUGCUCUGUAAACACUGCCAUAACCUCCGGUUCCAAUGCAAUAUUUGAUGUGGAAAUCCUCUGUCGCUUGAAUCAUCUCUUCAAAUGUAAUUCUACCAUCAUAAUUCCAUAUGGAGAACUCAUUAGCGCCCUCGGUCAUUUCUCGGGUAUUAGGAUUAAUUUUCUUAUCCUUUCGUCUAUGGACAAACAAGAUACAAAAAAUUAAGAUUGAGAAAAUAAAUGCCACCAUAGCAAGAAUGAUUGUGACCAAGCGAGUGACGAUCUUUCGUUGCUUCCCUUUGUUGCCUUUGAACGGUUUUGCUUGGGGUGGCGGUGCAUUUUCUGAACUAGUUGAGUUUUCUAACUCUAGAUUAUUUUCUGACACUAUCAAUUUGGGAAUUCUUCUGACAGAUGCAGGGACAACGCCGGAGAGGUUAUUCUUGGAAAGAUCCACGGCAGAAAUGUUUGGAAUAUUUCCGAGUUGUGAAGGUAUCGUGCCAUUUAUGAAGUUAUGGCUUAAAUCAAGUUGUCUCAGAUGUGUAAGGUUGCCUAUCUCCGACGGAAAUAUUCCGCUUAAAGUGUUGUGGCUUAAUACCAAGUUCUGUAACUGCGAGCAAUUCAUGAGUUCUGGAGGAAUGGAGCUGCUGAGCUGAUUAUAACCAAGAUUCAAAGAGGUGAGGUUGGUUAAAUAACCAAUUGUUGGAGGAAUGGGUCCAAUUAGAUUGUUCCCGUCAAGAGACCGAGAAUCAAGAUACUUCAGAUUUCCAACUUCCCGAGGCAGCAGACCACUAAGUUGGUUUG
RNAcentral lists this long non-coding RNA (7396 nucleotides) under Citrus sinensis (sweet orange). RNAcentral's name for it is "long non-coding RNA (CSIN_LNC000993)". The record is from RNAcentral. Lineage: Eukaryota; Viridiplantae; Streptophyta; Magnoliopsida; Sapindales; Rutaceae.